RNA transcript from Oncorhynchus kisutch (coho salmon), 2798 nucleotides. It is a transcript of the gene named myelin basic protein, with no coding region annotated. The transcript is spliced from 12 exons. The record is from RefSeq and is a predicted model, not a curated record. NCBI's taxonomy places the organism in Eukaryota, Metazoa, Chordata, Actinopteri, Salmoniformes, Salmonidae.
CAUUCCGCCCCACCCCGAAGAAACAACCAUCACUGUACGUAAAACAGGAAGCAAACGAGCCGUACAUGUUUACGAAGAAGGUGAAAACAACGCCGAGCCGUGGAAGAUAAAACGUUAUGGUCCACGAGAAGAGAAACGUCACAUCAAAAUCACAGCCUCUUAUGGUGGAUGCAUUUGAUUCGAUCUAAACGGAGAAGGUCUCUGUUGACAACAUGGGACAGCAUCUAGGUAAACACGAGCCACAGCCGCAGAGCAAGAGAAGAACGGAUUCUUAUUUGCAAUGACGACCUGUCGAACACAGCAGACAAGCACAGCAGAAAGUCUUUGACUAGUUUGUUUGCAGGUGGUUUGAAAUAAGUCUAUUAUUCAAGUUGGAUGCUUUGAGGAGCCUGAGGCGGGGGACUCGUGAGCAAUCCUACUUAAUCCUUUGUCAGCAGAAGCAGAACAGACCAUAGAACCAGCACCCAUUGGUGAGACCAUGGCAGAACCCGAAUCACAAGACGAGGUCUUUGGCCUGGAUGAGGCAGAUGUGAACCCGAACAAUGGCUGCCCCUCUGAGAAGGCGGCGGCGGUGACUGACUCCACGGGCACUGAGGGGCCCAGCAGCUCCUGGAACGAGGCCAGCACAGCUGAUGCUGACGAUAGCGCCGUGCCACGCCCCCACCUGGUCCGCCUCUUCUCCCGAGAUGCCCCGGGCCGCGAGGACAACACCUUCAAAGACCGCCCUUCUGAAUCAGAUGAGCUACAGACCAUCCAAGAGCACAGCGGAGCGGGAUCAGAGUGCGGUUCAGAGGAUCAGGAUCUAGACUAAGUUUGUUUCUUUGCUCUCCUUUCUCUCUCUUAAUACCCCCUCCGCUCUUACCUGAGAGACAGAACCCCACUUACAGAGAUACUAGCUGCACUACCCAACCCAAACCACUGACAUGGCAACUGCAAGCUCCUCUGGACUGUCUAGCCUGGGAAGGAAAAAGAAGGCCCCUGGCCUUAUGGAUCAAAUUGGGAACUUCUUUGGAGGGGACAAGAAGAGGAAGAGCAAGGGUUCCUUCCGUGGCCUGUCCUCCUCUCCUGCCAGACCUGCCAAGGCAGCCCCUAAGGGAGGGGAGAACGCUGUUGUACGCCUCUUCAGAACGAUCGUGUCCCCUGCCCCUCCUAAGUCUAGGUGGACGGCAAUGACUGCGAAACUAGGCCUGGGGUCUCAGAAGUCAACAGGAUCCGCUAAGGCAAAGAAGGCCGGUGCAGGAGACAGCGGAACCCUGUCCAAGAUCUUCAAAAUGUGAUGAUACCCAGCACUCAGGCACAAGCCGGACUGGGUCUCUACCCAAAAAAUGAGGUCCCCUUUCAAGAGCACAAAGGCAGAUGUCAAGAAAAGGAACGCAAGUGGGGGAAAACAAAGAAGAUACAAGAACAGAUCUUUGUCGACUCACACACCUCUUCUCCCUGCUUUUCUAACACUUUCAUUUUAUAACUCAAAUGCCUCCCCCACCGCACCCGGCUGGUAGAUAUAGCGACACAAUCUGUGCCUCCCCCCACCCCGCCCCUGCUCCACCCUCCUGUGCAACCAUCUUGGAUGUGAACUGUUGCUGAAGUCAUCCGGACCCCCUCUUACAGCCUAAAGGACCCCUGUCAUAGCUUUACAGUAUCUGUGUCUUCAUUUCUAUUUCUGUCUGUCUGUCUGUAUAGUCGUUUAACAAGGCUGGCUAACUGGACCAGACCUGGCUGAAGUAGCUUAGGUCCAAUUGACCUGGCCCUGACCGCUUGUGGUUGUGAAAGUAUGACCAGGUCUGGUUCUGGUUCAGAAACGAGUGAUUAUCUGUCUUGUCAUGCUCGUCUUUCAUAGCUAAGCAUCGUCUUACUCAGUUGGUCAUGUGUUUGUAUGUCUCCCCUCCUGUAUCAUCAGUGUAAGUGUCCUGUCUUAAGUGUUGCUGUCUUUCCAUGUUUUUACAUUAGGGUCUAUGGCUGGCUGUGAUCUUCGGUGGUAAAAUGACAUCGAGCUACUGAAAGCUGUUAACCUACUAAAAGUCUCUUGUCUGUAGUAUCCACUGAAUUGUAGACGUCAAUGGAUGAUAUCAUUUCUAAUGUUGUUUUCAUUUGAUUUCCAGUACAUGUAGAUUGAUUAAGACACUAAUGGGAGUUUCCCCAUCCAGACACAACUGGGAUUCGUCUAAAGUGCACUGUUUUGACCGUUGAAAAGCCAGACACUGACUGCUCUGAAACCAAGCUCACGCUGGAUUCAGACCUUUCCCCCAUUAUUGUAGUCUAGAUUCUGUAGUCUUCUGUCUUAAGUAUCUUUUGCUUUAUAUAUCUAUCAAAGCACUGCACACAAUACAAAAACAGCUAGCUAAGCAAUGCCAUUUCUGACUGCCAAAAACAAUGUGGUGUGUUUACUCUGUGUGGAUAUUAAAAGACCAACACUGUCAUAAAAGUGCUCGUUAUUUAACCAUGUAAAAGCAUAAACGUUUUUUUUUUUUUAAAGAUACAUGGAUAUAGAGGACGUGGAGUUUGUCGACCAAGGCACGAGCGACAAACUGCUUAUUACUGUCCAAUACCCCCCCCCACACCAGUGUCUUUCCUCAAGUUGUUUAAAAACAAACGUGUGUCAUCUGUAGCAUUACUCUGCCUGCCCCCGUCGCCCCUCCCCCAUGUCUUAAAGUGUGCGCGCGCUUUUGUAUGGGUCCUGUGAAUGAAUGUAAAUUAAACUCUUGAGACCCUCAUUGUUGUAUCUGUAAUAAAAAAAGAUGUGCGAUCAGCCACUUAACUAGAAGAAAUAAAUGAAGCUAUUAAAAAUCAUAAAACCGUUA